Molecule: long non-coding RNA, 1689 nt
Organism: Homo sapiens (human)
Lineage: Eukaryota; Metazoa; Chordata; Mammalia; Primates; Hominidae
Gene: H19
Product: H19 imprinted maternally expressed transcript
Source: Ensembl
GAGAUAAUCUGCUAAUGUGGGUGCAGCAGACAUCCCGCGGUUUGUGGAAUCGAUAAAGGAUGGGGAUCAAUGGUGUUUGUGCACUGUGCGGUCUGUGCCCAAUUGCCUGCCUUGUGCUGUGGAAUCUGUACAUCUGGCCAACAUGUGCUUGUGUGAGCCUGACAGUGCAUUUUCCAGAGCCUCACCUCGGCUCUGCCCUGGAGGCUCUGUGCUGCUGGAAUCAGACUCAAGGACCUCAUCAGAGGACCAUGGCCCCGUAUCACCUGGGUCAGGCACUGAAGCUGGGACAGGAGAGCAGAGACUUCCAAAAUGAGGGAUCCCUGUGUUCUGAGGUGAUCAUGACUGGGACCCAAGGACUCAAGCGCAUGCUCCAGAGGGAAUCGUUUCCCACAAGGCCUUUGGCAGGAACAGGGAUCCUGGGAGCCUGCCAAGCAGAGCGCACAGUGUUCCUGGAGUCUCGCUGCCCAGAUGCCACGGAAUCAGUUGAAGGACGUGGCAGCUGGUUGGACGAGGGGAGCUGGUGGGCAGGGUUUGAUCCCAGGGCCUGGGCAACGGAGGUGUAGCUGGCAGCAGCGGGCAGGUGAGGACCCCAUCUGCCGGGCAGCCAGGUCUCCAGCUGGGGUGGACGUGCCCACCAGCUGCCGAAGGCCAAGACGCCAGGUCCGGUGGACGUGACAAGCAGGACAUGACAUGGUCCGGUGUGACGGCGAGGACAGAGGAGGCGCGUCCGGCCUUCCUGGUGAGCGUGUCUGCCCUCCCUGCGUCAGGACGCGGCCCUGCCCAGACCGCCCCGCCGGGCCACCAUCUCACUGCCCCGACCUCUGUCUUCUACAGAACACCUUAGGCUGGUGGGGCUGCGGCAAGAAGCGGGUCUGUUUCUUUACUUCCUCCACGGAGUCGGCACACUAUGGCUGCCCUCUGGGCUCCCAGAACCCACAACAUGAAAGAAAUGGUGCUACCCAGCUCAAGCCUGGGCCUUUGAAUCCGGACACAAAACCCUCUAGCUUGGAAAUGAAUAUGCUGCACUUUACAACCACUGCACUACCUGACUCAGGAAUCGGCUCUGGAAGGUGAAGCUAGAGGAACCAGACCUCAUCAGCCCAACAUCAAAGACACCAUCGGAACAGCAGCGCCCGCAGCACCCACCCCGCACCGGCGACUCCAUCUUCAUGGCCACCCCCUGCGGCGGACGGUUGACCACCAGCCACCACAUCAUCCCAGAGCUGAGCUCCUCCAGCGGGAUGACGCCGUCCCCACCACCUCCCUCUUCUUCUUUUUCAUCCUUCUGUCUCUUUGUUUCUGAGCUUUCCUGUCUUUCCUUUUUUCUGAGAGAUUCAAAGCCUCCACGACUCUGUUUCCCCCGUCCCUUCUGAAUUUAAUUUGCACUAAGUCAUUUGCACUGGUUGGAGUUGUGGAGACGGCCUUGAGUCUCAGUACGAGUGUGCGUGAGUGUGAGCCACCUUGGCAAGUGCCUGUGCAGGGCCCGGCCGCCCUCCAUCUGGGCCGGGUGACUGGGCGCCGGCUGUGUGCCCGAGGCCUCACCCUGCCCUCGCCUAGUCUGGAAGCUCCGACCGACAUCACGGAGCAGCCUUCAAGCAUUCCAUUACGCCCCAUCUCGCUCUGUGCCCCUCCCCACCAGGGCUUCAGCAGGAGCCCUGGACUCAUCAUCAAUAAACACUGUUACAGCAA